Molecule: ribosomal RNA, 465 nt
Filed under: Vreelandella stevensii
Lineage: Bacteria; Pseudomonadati; Pseudomonadota; Gammaproteobacteria; Oceanospirillales; Halomonadaceae
Description: partial 16S ribosomal RNA
Rfam family: Bacterial small subunit ribosomal RNA
Source: RNAcentral
CCUACGGGGGGCAUCAGUGGGGAAUAUUGGACAAUGGGCGAAAGCCUGAUCCAGCCAUGCCGCGUGUGUGAAGAAGGCCUUCGGGUUGUAAAGCACUUUCAGUGGGGAAGAAAGCCUUGGGGCUAAUACCCUCGAGGAAGGACAUCACCCACAGAAGAAGCACCGGCUAACUCCGUGCCAGCAGCCGCGGUAAUACGGAGGGUGCGAGCGUUAAUCGGAAUUACUGGGCGUAAAGCGCGCGUAGGCGGUCUGAUAAGCCGGUUGUGAAAGCCCCGGGCUCAACCUGGGAACGGCAUCCGGAACUGUCAGGCUAGAGUGCAGGAGAGGAAGGUAGAAUUCCCGGUGUAGCGGUGAAAUGCGUAGAGAUCGGGAGGAAUACCAGUGGCGAAGGCGGCCUUCUGGACUGACACUGACGCUGAGGUGCGAAAGCGUGGGUAGCAAACAGGAUUAGAUACCCUGGUAGUC